GAAAUUUCAAAAAAAAAAUUGAAAAGAAAGAUCUGAAAGUGUUUUUUCAGGCAUAAUUAGAAAGUGAAAAAUUAACAAAGUAACAUUAGAAGCUACAAAGCAAGAGAAAAUAAAGUGCUUAAUCCGAAAAUCAAUGCGAUUAUGCAGAAUCACCAGAUUUGUAGCGGUACAGUUUUCCGAACACGUGGAGUGUGGUAACAAAUCCGAUGAAGCAGAGGCUCAUAACCAGCACCACCGUCGGUGAAAAAAAACUAAAUGAAAGUAGUUUUUUCAUUGACUUGAGACACCAGAUGAGGACAUGUAAUCCCCUUCUAUAGUUGGAGAUUGAUGGAGAUCACAUACAAGGAUUCAUUAGUCCGAGACAAAGACACAUGAAAGUUAAGGGACACAUCGAACAUAUGAUCUACAUUUAUUCAGAAAUAAGUAUUACUAUAGUUUGUUCCGCUCAAUAGUUGUACUUUAUAGUCCUAAUUUAUUCUCAAAAUAUUACAAUUAACAAGUAUUAGUAUAAUUUGUCCUACUCAAUACUUAGACUUUAUAGUCCUAAUUUAUUCUCAAAAUAUUACAAGUAGGAUGAAGUUGAUGGCAUUUAAUAAGAGCAACUUUAUAGAAAUUUGAGAGCUUUGAGGAUGAAACUAAGACUUACUAUUGUUUAUGGAGCAAAUGUGUGUUUUGUUUCAACAGGUACGGUGUAUGCAGACAACAAGCUAGGUAUUUAUGAAGUGAACAAAGUGCUUCUUCCACUUGACAUUGUUCUUCCUAAGCCUAAGGCUCUUGCACCCUCACCAGCCAAAGGAGUAUCACCAAAAACUAAGUCACCUGAAGAUGAAAGACAAGAUGGUAGUAAAAGUAACAAUGAUGAUGAUGUUGUUCCUGUUCAUACUAGUUCAGCAGGUUCCUUCAGUUUCAAUAUAAUUUGGAUUCCUCUUGUUCUUGGAGCCAUGAUUUAAGGUUGAUUUCUUAUAUGUUGGGUUUGAUUCAAUGGCUCAAGUUUCACUUUGUGAUUUCUUAUAUCGUGAUUUUUUUUUGUAUUUUUUAGUUCAUGUUUGUUAAUUAAGUUAUGUUAUUUCUUGGAUCAAAUAAUUACACAAAAAUUAAAGUUUAUAAUUUUUUAGCUACAAAAUUGAGCUUUAAAUUGAAUUGGAUAAGAUAACCAUGAAUGCUUUAACCCCUAUCAUGUUUUUUGGGCUACAACUUAAGAUUCAUUAUGAUCAUUUAACAACUCAUGAGUUGUGUUAUUUGUACAGUUAAAUGGAACACCAAUGUAAUGCUUUUACACUACAACAUAACAGACAAUUAUAUUUUGUUCUCUUACACCAUUUCAAAUGAUGAAAAAAUAGACUAUGUAAGGUUCUCAUAUAUGGUGUCUUCACCUAGUUGUUCAAAGUUUUGUAUAUAUAGCUCAAAUUUGCAUAUAUAGUAGGUAAAAGAAUAAAAUAAUUUCAUUAGAAGAGGUGGUCAUAAGGGACUUGUAAUGUUCAUCACUAGGAAUAAUAAGACUAGCCUAUUGUGAAAUUCCUUAAAGCAUAUUACCAAUUUACCAUGAUAAAGAAAGAAAGGAUAUGAGUAAAAUAAGAUAAGAUGAUGAUAUACAUUAUUCUGGAUUAUUAUAUAUAUGAAAAAGAAUUUGUUGAUAGAGACAAAAUCCAUUACUUUUAUUUAAAAAAAUGUCAAUAAAAAUAAACCAAUAAUGAUUAGAAUUUCAAUGAAAAUAAAUACACUAAUACAUUAUAGAUUAUAGUUAAUAAAGUAGAUAAUAAUAAAAUAUACAUUUAUACUUUAUUUUUCAAUCAUAUCUUUAUUAUUUAUUUUUUUCACCCUUUAUUUUUCAAGUUCUUUUCAAUAUAUAGUCCCUAAAUAUGGAUACCAAUGUCUCUUCAUUUCUUUUCAACUUAGUUUCCUAUGUAGAUUAAAAUGAUUAUCUUAGUUAAAUUACGUUAAACUUUUACAUCCUAAGAAUGACAUUUAUUGGAAAGAAAACCACACAUCUCAAAAUGAACUAGUUCCUUAACAAAAUGUGAAAAAAUAUCGUUAUAAUACAAAAAAAAAUUACAUCAUUAAUGAUUUCUUGAGCUUAUAAUAUGUGUCUACGUUAAAUUAUUAAUACUAUGGAAUGGAGAUGCUACAUCAUAACAAUAGUCUCGAUCACAUUUUUUUUAUUAUUAAUUAAAAUAAACUUUGAAUUAUUAAUUUAUCAUAGAAUAAUAAGAAUUUGGUUGCUACUAAUACUAUCAUGCGAAAUUGAUCAUGAUCCUUGUUUGCUCAGAAUGAAUAAUGAAAGAAGACACUGAAAUUUAUAACAAAAAAUAUCAACAAUUAAACAUGUUAAUUGUUGAGAGAUAAGCGAAAUUUCAAAAAAAAAAUUGAAAAGAAAGAUCUGAAAGUGUUUUUUCAGGCAUAAUUAGAAAGUGAAAAAUUAACAAAGUAACAUUAGAAGCUACAAAGCAAGAGAAAAUAAAGUGCUUAAUCCGAAAAUCAAUGCGAUUAUGCAGAAUCACCAGAUUUGUAGCGGUACAGUUUUCCGAACACGUGGAGUGUGGUAACAAAUCCGAUGAAGCAGAGGCUCAUAAC
This 2571-nucleotide long non-coding RNA is filed under the name Lupinus angustifolius (narrow-leaved blue lupine). RNAcentral describes it as "long non-coding RNA (LANG_LNC001145)". Lineage: Eukaryota; Viridiplantae; Streptophyta; Magnoliopsida; Fabales; Fabaceae. The record is from RNAcentral.